The sequence is a ribosomal RNA, 1610 nucleotides long. It matches the Rfam family "Archaeal small subunit ribosomal RNA".
CAAUUCCGGCUGAUCCUGCCGGAGACCACUGCUAUCUGGGUUCGGCUAAGCCAUGCAAGUCUUUGCCUCUCUGAGGCAAGGCGAAAAGCUCAGUAAAACAUAGUCAACCUGCCCUUGGGUCCGGGAUAAUCUCGCGAAAGUGAGGCUAAUACCGGAUAGGCAAGGAUGCCUGGAAUGGUUCCUUGCCCAAAGCUUCGGCGCCCAAGGAUGGGACUAUGUCGGAUUAGGUUGUUGUUGGGGUAACGGCCCAACAAGCCUAUAAUCCGUACGGGCCUUGAGAGAGGAAGCCCGGAGAUGGACUCUGAGACAACAGUCCAGGCCCUACGGGGCGCAGCAGGCGCGAAAACUUCCCAAAAACCCUUUUUACAGGAGCUAACGCUUCCUCAAAAAGCGUUUACGGAAAAAUAUGUAAAAAGGGUUGGGGAAUGCGCGCAAGCGUGAGGAGGGAACCCAGAGUGGUUGCCCUUUGGGGUAACCUUUUCUCGAGUGUAAAAAGCUCGAGGAAUAAGCGGUGGGUAAGACGGGUGCCAGCCGCCGCGGUAAUACCCGCGCCGCGAGUGGUGGUCACGAUUAUUGGGCUUAAAGCGUCCGUAGCCGGCUUGUAAAGUCCUUGGUGAAAUCCCAUAGAAAACUAUGGGGCUUGCCAAGGAUACUUACAAGCUUGGGACCGGGAGAGGGCAGCGGUACUCCAGGGGUAGGGGUAAAAUCCUGUAAUCCUUGGAGGACCACCUGUGGCGAAGGCGGCUGCCUGGAACGGAUCCGACGGUGAGGGACGAAAGCCAGGGGAGCGAACGGGAUUAGAUAGACCCUUUUUACAGGAGCUGAUGCCUCCUCAAAAAGCAUUAGCGGAAAAACAAGUAAAAAGGGUCCUGAAAACCCCGGUAGUCCUGGCCGUAAACGAUGCCCGCUAGACGUUGGCAGUCUUACGGGGGCUGCCAGUGUCGUAGCGAAAGCGUUAAGCGGGCCGCCUGGGGAGUACGGUCGCAAGGCUGAAACUUAAGGGAAUUGGCGGGGGAGCACACAAGGGGUGGAGGCUGCGGUUUAAUUGGACCCAACGCCGGGAACCUUACCAGGGGCGACAGCAGGAUGAAGGUCAGGCUGAAGACCUUACCAGACAAGCUGAGAAGUGGUGCAUGGCCGUCGUCAGCUCGUGCCGUGAGGUGUCCUGUUAAGUCAGGUAACGAGCGAGACCCACGCCCCAUGUUGCUACCCAAUUCGUUGGGGCACUCAUGGGGGACCGCUGGCGAUAAGCCAGAGGAAGGUGUGGUCGACGGCAGGUCCGUAUGCUCUGAAUCCCCUGGGUAACACGCGGCCUACAAUGCACGCUACAAUGGGUUGCGACCCCGAAAGGGGAAGCCAAUCCCUAAAAGCGUGCUCAGUUCGGAUCGAGGCUUGCAACUCAGCCUCGUGAAGCCGAAAUCCCUAGUAGUCGCUGUUUAGCAUACAGCGGCGAAUAAGUUCCUGCUCCUUGCACACACUGCCCGUCAAGCCAUCCGAGUGGACUUCUGGUGAGGUCCUAUCAUCUUGGUAGGAUCGAGCCAGAGGUCUGCAAGGAGGGCUAAGUCGUAACAAGGUAGCCGUACGGGAACGUGCGGCUGGAUCACCUCCUU